AUUGAACGCUGGCGGCAUGCCUUACACAUGCAAGUCGAACGGUAACGGGCCUUCGGGUGCCGACGAGUGGCGAACGGGUGAGUAAUGCAUCGGAACGUACCUUUCAGUGGGGGAUAACGUAGCGAAAGUUACGCUAAUACCGCAUAUUCUGUGAGCAGGAAAGCAGGGGAUCGCAAGACCUUGCGCUGAUUGAGCGGCCGAUGUCAGAUUAGCUAGUUGGUGAGGUAAAGGCUCACCAAGGCGACGAUCUGUAGCGGGUCUGAGAGGAUGAUCCGCCACACUGGAACUGAGACACGGUCCAGACUCCUACGGGAGGCAGCAGUGGGGAAUUUUGGACAAUGGGGGCAACCCUGAUCCAGCCAUGCCGCGUGAGUGAAGAAGGCCUUCGGUUGUAAGACGUCUUUCGGUCCGGGAACGGAAAGUACG
Molecule: ribosomal RNA, 426 nt
Filed under: uncultured bacterium
Lineage: Bacteria
Description: bacterial SSU rRNA
Rfam family: Bacterial small subunit ribosomal RNA
Source: RNAcentral